GACAGAGGCGCGGGCUUGAUGAGUCCUGCCGGAGAAGGGUGCCGACCCGUCGCGGUGUGCUGAAAACAGCCAUACCGCGGGAAUCCGACAGAAAAGGCAAGACCGCCGAAGCGUUUGCAGGGAACGGCUCCCGCAGAUGCUGGGCGCGUACCGAACAGGUGCGUGACUGUCACAGAGUCACCCGGCAGCGGGCGCUCUGUGGAGUGCUG
Molecule: non-coding RNA, 209 nt
Filed under: bovine gut metagenome
Description: Lysine riboswitch
Rfam family: Lysine riboswitch aptamer
About the family: Riboswitches are metabolite binding domains within certain messenger RNAs that serve as precision sensors for their corresponding targets. Allosteric rearrangement of mRNA structure is mediated by ligand binding, and this results in modulation of gene expression. This family includes riboswitches that sense lysine in a number of genes involved in lysine metabolism, including lysC.
Source: RNAcentral